RNAcentral lists this ribosomal RNA (274 nucleotides) under uncultured bacterium. Its description in RNAcentral is "partial 16S ribosomal RNA". It matches the Rfam family "Bacterial small subunit ribosomal RNA", at positions 523 to 796 of the family's 1533-position model. The record is from RNAcentral.
AUACGGAGGGUGCAAGCGUUACUGGGAAUCACUGGGCGUAAAGCGCGCGCAGGCGGCCUGAUAAGUUGGAUGUGAAAGCCUACGGCUCAACCGUAGAACUGCAUCCAAAACUGUCAGGCUAGAGUGUGGGAGAGGAAGAUGGAAUUAGUUGUGUAGGGGUAAAAUCCGUAGAGAUAACUAGGAAUACCAAAAGCGAAGGCAAUCUUCUGGAACACUACUGACGCUGAGGCGCGAAGGCGUGGGGAGCAAACAGGAUUAGAAACCCUAGUAGUCC